This 493-nucleotide ribosomal RNA is filed under the name uncultured bacterium. Its description in RNAcentral is "partial 16S ribosomal RNA". It matches the Rfam family "Bacterial small subunit ribosomal RNA", at positions 30 to 523 of the family's 1533-position model. The record is from RNAcentral.
AUUGAACGCUGGCGGCAUGCUUUACACAUGCAAGUCGAACGGUAACAGGUUAAGCUGACGAGUGGCGAACGGGUGAGUAAUGCAUCGGAACGUGCCCGGUCGUGGGGGAUAACGCAGCGAAAGCUGCGCUAAUACCGCAUACGAUCUGAGGAUGAAAGCGGGGGACCGUAAGGCCUCGCGCGAUCGGAGCGGCCGAUGUCAGAUUAGGUAGUUGGUGGGGUAAAGGCUCACCAAGCCAACGAUCUGUAGCUGGUCUGAGAGGACGACCAGCCACACUGGGGCUGAGACACGGCCCAGACUCCUACGGGAGGCAGCAGUGGGGAAUUUUGGACAAUGGGCGAAAGCCUGAUCCAGCAAUGCCGCGUGCAGGAAGAAGGCCUUCGGGUUGUAAACUGCUUUUGUACGGAGCGAAAAGGUCUCCUCUAAUACAGGGGGCUCAUGACGGUACUGUAAGAAUAAGCACCGGCUAACUACGUGCCAGCCGCCGCCGUAA